GUUUAGCAUUCAUUUUGUAGUCAUUUCUCUCCUUCCCAUCUCUUCCGAAUCUCGUGCGCUCGUGCAGAAUCCAUUGCCAUGUCAUUCUACAAAAACUUCUGCAACUCUUUCUUUAUAUUGCUAUUCUUUCUCAUUCCUACUAUGAACUCCAUCUCGUUUAACAUGCCUCGCUUUGAGUAUCAGGCCAGUGACAUCAUACUAGAAGGUGAUGCUGUGGCUUCCAUGGGUACCGUGGAAAUGAUCAACAAAAAAAUUUACGGUUCUCGUGUUGGUCGAGCUAGUUAUGCCAAACCGGUACCCCUGUGGGACUCGGCAACUAGAGAACUCACACACUUCACCACUCAUUUCAUGUUUUCAAUUCAAAAACCAACACCGUUUUAUGGUGAUGGACUUGCCUUCUUUAUUGCUCCUGUUGGUUGCCCAAUCCCUCCAAAUUCAGCAGGUGGAUUUCUAGGACUUUUUAAUACAACCACCACUGAUAAAACAUCUCUCAAUCAGAUCAUCCAUGUUGAAUUUGAUUCCUUCCUGAAUGAAGAAUGGGAUCCAGAUUCUACACAUGUGGGGAUGAAUAAUAAUUCGAUCGAGUCCUCUGUUUCAUCCUUUUGGAAUGCUUCUUUAUAUAGUGGGGAAACUGGGAGCUUGUUCAGUUUCCUGCAGUUGAUCUUGUAAAGCAUCAGCUGCUCCUGGUUGAUGCCACUGGAACUCGAUCCUUCUUCCGUCUGCAGGCAUUCUACGUAUUAUUUUUGUUUGUGGUGCCAACAGACAUUUGUUGGAUGGGCUAUUUUCAGAAAACCUGUGCCUCUUUGGCAUGACGGAUAUCUCUCUGAUUUCGCUACUCAUUUCACCUUUUCAAUCCAUAGCGACUGUGAUAACCUUAGUGAAGGUUGAUUUGAAGGAAGUUCUUCCGCAAAACAUUAAGGUUGGAUUCUCUGCUUCUUCUGGUUUUGUUAUUGGGAGACAUACUCUUUUAUCGUGGGGGUUCAAUUCAAGUUUAGUAGUCAAGAGCAAUAUCAAAUUGGUGGUGGCAUUGUCUGUUUCUGCUGUUUUCAUUUGUGGUGUUGCUGUAGCUGUAGUGUUGUUGAUUUUAACAAAAAAGACGAAGGGAAAGAUGACAGUGAAUUUGAAACAGGAGCUGUUCCAGAAAGCUUCUCUUACAAAAAUCUAGUUUAACAACUGCUGCCAGGAAAGGAAAUUAGGAGAAGGUGGGUUUGGAGGUGUUUACUUAGGCACGUUGAAUGAUACACAUCAGCUAGUCACUUUAAAGAAAUUCUCGAGGGGAUCUAGUCAAGUUAACAAAGAAUGGAUAGCUGAAGUCAGGAUCACAAGGAAGCUAUGACACCGUAAUUUGCUGCAACCGACCUGUUGGUGCCAUGAGAAAUAAGGAGCUUAUUCUUGCUUAUGAGUUGAUGCUGAAUGGGAGCUUAGAUUCUUUUCUAUUUGGCAAAAAAGUUCUCUAGUAUAAGAUACAAAAUCUCUCUUAAGUUGGUCUCUGCAAUGUUGUGCCUAAAUGAAGAGUGGAACAACUGUGUCCUACAUCGGGAUAUUAAGUGCACCAAGGUCAUGCUGGAUUCAAGCUUCAACUUAGCGACUUUGGCUUAACUCGGUUCAUGGACCAUGGUCGGUGCUCUGAAUCCACUGGUUUGGCUGGAACUUUUAGGUAUUUGACACCUGGAAAAAUCUUCUGUUUCAUCUGGUGAAAUAUCCCAAAUGGGAUUAGUGGAGAGGGUUUGGGAUCUCUAUGGACAAGAAGAAAAUUAGGCAACGAUGUCGACCACAAAAAAAAAACAGGGUCUGUGUUGUAGAAUUAGUAGAUACACGAACAGCCACCCAAUAAAUCUACCAUUUAUGAGCUCCAACACAGAUCCUGUAGACAUUUUGGAUCUAGUGUUCCCGUUUAAAAACUGAACCCAAAUAUCUCAUUUCUACAAUGUGGGCUAUACCUGUAAGCAAAAAGGAAACCAAUCCAAAAACUAAAAGCUUUCCUUCCAUCGGAUCACCAGUUUGAAUCUGUCAUAAUUCUAAGUUGUGUUACAGUAGGUCUGGGGAUUUAGUGCAGGAUCAGUCGACAAGACACUUUAGAGAGUGUUUGGGAGCCCAUUUGGUAUUUACACUCUCAAGCACAACGAACAGGAUUUGUGCGAUCAGGUGCAACACUGACGACAUGAAUAGUGUUGGUUCCUGCUAUGGGCCUAAGACUAGAUCAAUGGUGUUUUAACUUCUAAGGAAUAACUAGUAUACGUUUCAGUUGCCAUAUGUCAAGAUACUCUGCUUACAAUCACUUCUAGUAGCUCUACUAGAACAAAUUGUGUGGAAACCAGCUAGUUAAGCAGGUAGCGUGUUCACUAUGAAGUGACACAGUUGACGUUGAAAUAUUAGCACUCCAUAAAGGUGAAAACUACCCACUGCGGAUUGUAACGUGCGAGUAUCACAGCUUCACCUGCCUGCAGUUGAUCGUAUAAAAGCAUCUGGUGUUUAUGGUUGAUGCCUCUGGUAAUUGAACGUUCUCUUGGCUAAAGGCAUUUGACAUAAUGUCUGUUUUUGCUUGGAGAAAAGCAAUUCAGUUGAAGCGGUUCGGGAUCUCUAUGGAAAGGGAAGGGAAUAACUUUUGGUUGUGGUUAACAAAAACUAGGUAAUGGUUUCGAUGACAACGAAGCGGGGAGUAUUUGACAUUUGCUUGGUUUGCAGGUUCAGACCUUUCAAUUAGACAAGCAAUUGAGGUUCGGAAAAAGGAGUUAAAUGUUCCAAAUCCUCCACCUGAAAUGGCUGUUACAUUGUACCAUACUAAAAUGUACCUGAACUUGUACCUGGUGAAUGACUCUCUAUAAUUUGCUCAAGUCUCACAGGUAACUCUUCCUCUUACUGUGAAGACAAUUACCAUAUUUCUUGUUUAUGUUGAUGAUAUUCUUCUCACAGGUAACUCUUCCUCUUACUGUGCUGAGCUUAUAUUAACUUUGGGUACUCACUUCCCGGUCAAAAAUUUAGGAGCUCUACACUAUUUUUUUUGUCUUUAAGUGAAAAGAAGUGAUUCUGGUUUAUUUUUGUGUCUAACCAAACAUGCAUUGGACUACUAGAUAAGACUCACAUGGUUUGUGCUAAGUGUUGUUUUUCUCCAGCUUUCACUUCUUCCAAGUUGAGUGCUCAUGAUGGUGAAAUUCUUGAAAAUCCUACUGAAUACAGAUAUCGGUAGGAGUUUUACAAUAUCUGACAUGGACAAGACCUGAAAUCAGCUUUGCUGUAAAUCAAGUAUGCCAAUUCAUGCAUCAGCCUACUACUACUCAUCUUCGUGCAGCCAAAAGAAUUCUAAGAUAUGUCAAAGGCACUAUUGAUUUUGGUCUGUUCUUUCAAAGGGUCUUUAAACUUUACAAGGUUUUGGUGAUGCAGACUGGGCUGGAUCUCCAGAUGACAGAAGAUCAACUAGUGGUUUUUGUAUUUUCUUUGGUCACAAUCCUAUUUCAUGGAGUGCCAAGACACAAUCCACAGUUGCAAGGUUAAGUACAGAGGCAGAGUACAUAGCACUUGCACAUACUGCUGCUGAAAUUGUAUGGUUGUGCCAGUUGCUUCAGGAUUUGCAAGUCUUUUUACCAGUUCUACCUACUUUGCACUGUGACAACAUCAGCAGCCUUUGCACGUACACGUGCUCUAUAUAGCUUGGUUCGUAUCUGUAUGGCUGUGAGUCGACGUAAGAAGGGUAUACAAUGUCUCUGUCAGGUAGCUUGUUCACUAUGGAGUGAGACAGAUGACCUUAAAAUAUUAGCACUCCAUAUAGGUGAAAACUACCCUCGGUGGAUUGUAACGUGCGGGUAUCACAGCUUCCCCUGCCUGCAGUUGACCUUAGAAAAGCAUCCGGUGUUCACCUCUGGAAAUUGAACGUUCUCUUGGCUAAAUGCAUUUGACAUAAUGUGUCUGUUUUGCUUGGAGAAAAAUCUCAAGUGGGAUUAUUUGAAUCGGUUCGGGAUCACAACUUUCUGACUCUGUUGCAGGUUCAAUAUUUUUAGGGCCUUGAAAUCGCGAGAGCAUGUGAGAUUAUGCAAGUUGGCUAACUUGAUAUCAGACCUCUGAACUGUUGCAGGAGACACUCUUGUGUAACUAAGUCUAUGGAAGCUAGUCCAGCAGGUAAUGGUUUUAAUCCUCCAAGAUCGGGACAAAAGAGAUGCAGAAAAGCCAAUGGCAAAUGGGUCUGAGAUUAGACCGAGUAUGGGAGCAACAGUUUGGUUAGUCUCAACACGGUGAGUGCCCCAGGGACUAUGGUGCUAGCUUCUCAGACCCAAGCUGCCAACUCUUGCCAUUGGCCUGGCAUUGUGAACUUGGGCACACAAUCCUUAUAAGCUUAUUCACCAUAUUUAAGUUUCACGAUGUGGGAUUAUUAAAUAUGGUAACUUAUUAAUUAAUUAAAAUUACUUGUUUGUAAUUACGGUAUUUGGUCCUGAUUUUGGUGCGGGCCAUGUAUACACGGCCCUCUACAGGCCGGUUAACAUAAAUAGAACCUUUUAAGGAAAAAACUCUAUCUAGGCCCUUAGUUCAUCUUUCUUUUCUUCUUUUUUGCUCGUGAAAUUGAAGGAUAUUAUUUCCCAUCAAAAUUUUAUUAUGCAU
Papaver somniferum (opium poppy) is the source of this 4590-nucleotide long non-coding RNA. RefSeq lists it as uncharacterized. The transcript is spliced from 5 exons. Lineage: Eukaryota; Viridiplantae; Streptophyta; Magnoliopsida; Ranunculales; Papaveraceae. The record is from RefSeq and is a predicted model, not a curated record.